RNAcentral lists this long non-coding RNA (663 nucleotides) under Homo sapiens (human). RNAcentral's name for it is "HSALNT0360839". Lineage: Eukaryota; Metazoa; Chordata; Mammalia; Primates; Hominidae. The record is from RNAcentral.
UUGGGAGCUAAGUGGUUGCUGCCCUUGACCACUGUGAAGACUGGUGUGGGAAGGGUCGUUUUGGAUGCACUUGAGCAGGGGUCCCCAACCCCUGAGCCAUGGAGCCGCAAGGAGCCACACAGCAGGAGGUGAGUGGUGUCGAGUGAGGGAGUGAGGGAAGCUUCGUCUGUAUUUACAGCCACUCCCCUUUGCUCACAUUCCCGCCUGAGCUCCACCUUCUCAGAUGAGCAGCAGCAUUAGAUGCUCAUAGGAGAACGCACCCUGUUGUGAACCGUGCAUGUGAGGGAUCUAGGUUGCGCUGUCCUUAUGAGAGUCUAAUACCUAUUGAUCUGUCACUUUCUCCCAUCACGCUCAGGUGGGAACAUCCAGUUGCAGGAAAACAAGCUUAACACGCCCACUGAUUCUACAUUAUGCUCCUACCUCCCGGCAGCCUCUCCAGGCCCAGAACUUUCUCCAGUCAGCCUCUACAGACCAAGCUCAUGACUCACAAUGGCCUAUUUAGGCCCAUACCCUACGUCACGGCAGCCUCCGCAGAUGAGGCUACUGCCUCACAACAGCCUCCACAGGCACAGCUCCAUCGUUACAAUGGCCUCUUUAGACCCAGCUCCUGCCUCCCAGCCUUCUCUCCAGGCCCUGAACAUUCUCAGGUCUCACUCUGUUGUC